GGAGUCUUCUCCGCUGGUUCCGGGGCUCCGCGGGGGUGGGGGCGUGUGCCAGCCACACCCUGCUCUGCCCUGGGGUAGCCCAGUUCGGGUUCCCCUUCACGGACGCUCAGCCCCGCGUUGCUCGUGGAUCCGCAGCCCGGGCUCCCACGCGUGACCCGGCCCCGGGGGCUAGUCGCAUCCCAGCGCCGUGUUGGUCUCGGCGGCUCCGGCGCAGCGUUGCUGUCUUCUCCCCUCGCGUCUCGUCCCCUCCCGGGCUCCCCGCACGGAGCCGCGACUGAGGCUGGCAGCUGCAGCCCUCAAACGCGGACCAAGAUCUCCCCCUGCCGGCUGCCUGCUCCGCCAGUGGGGCGGCCCCGGGACCGAGCCGUCCUCCCGUGUCCCGCUCCCCGCGCAGGGCACGAAGCUGCUGGGGGGCUUCAGGCUUGUGCGGGCUCCGCUCCCUGGAGCUGCUGCAGCCCCGCGGUGGAAGAGACGAGCAGCUGUCAGCACUAAAUCAACUCCUGGGCUGCAGACAAGAGUCCUCCGGGCAUUUUCUCCAUUAGGUAUUCUUCUAAUCUAGCCAGCUCCAUCUCCACCUAGGAGAAGGGAAAGGUCCCUGGAGAGCCGGAGGCGAGGUCAGAAAAUUAAGCACAACAUCAAGACGAAGAGAGAGAGACAUUUACAAGAGAUUUUAUCAGGCAAGUCUCAACAACCUUAAUAACCCCUUUAGUCCUUCCUGUCAGGAAAUAGCUUACCUCUAGCAGGUACAGGCUACCUGUUUUUGUACUCUUCCAUGUGAAUAUCCCCUUUCUGAGCAGUGGGGAAUGGCUGGCAAUUGCCACUUCUCCUGACCUGCAUGAUACACCUAUGGAAACUAGUACUAAGUAUUUAUGAACACUAAUCUCUCUGUAUGAUAUCACAGUUGGUUGCCCUGGAAAGUCACAGGGAUGACACUUCAGGUGGAAAAUAAGUAGCAAAGGAAUUUUUAGCCACACAGAGUGCUGUUUUCAUACCUCCCAGGUACGAAAGAGAGAACAAUGGAGAAAGAAUAAACAGAACCUGAAUCUUUUCUAAAUGAACUAAUACCACAGAAAAGAUGCAUGGAAAAAAAAAGCCAGUGACUAGAAAUAUAAAAGUUACAGUUACUGCACAGCUGCCACAGGAUUUCACAUCUUGUAUCCCUUGUCCAGUGUGUUCCACAAUGUAUGCAUUGGAUGCUACAAUAAAGCUAGGAUGCUACCUUAUUACCAGGGAUCCUAGUUUUCUGUUUAAAAAUUGCAAAUUCUCUGAUUAAACACACACGCACUCUGAUUUAAAAACCCAAUAUCCACAUUUUUCUGCAAAAUACAUGGGUAUCAGUUGAAUGUAAUGUUUUAUUGAUAUAUUUAUAAUUUUAAAGCAAAUUAGAAGCCUACCAGUGCCUCAAUCACUAUAAUAAAAUAAAUUCUAAUAA
This is a long non-coding RNA of Alligator mississippiensis (American alligator), 1432 nucleotides long. RefSeq lists it as uncharacterized. NCBI's taxonomy places the organism in Eukaryota, Metazoa, Chordata, Crocodylia, Alligatoridae. The record is from RefSeq and is a predicted model, not a curated record. The transcript is spliced from 2 exons.